This 1313-nucleotide long non-coding RNA is filed under the name Setaria italica (foxtail millet). Its description in RNAcentral is "long non-coding RNA (SITA_LNC005082)". Lineage: Eukaryota; Viridiplantae; Streptophyta; Magnoliopsida; Poales; Poaceae. The record is from RNAcentral.
UCCAAAUGAGCAUAUAUUUGUAAUUAGCCUCUGCUCCAUUCCAGGUUAAAACUAUAAUACGGUAUACUAAUACAACACAACGCCAUUCCUUUCCAUCAUCUCACCAACAGUCGAUGACAAAAGGAUGACAAGUUAAAACUCGUACAGCACAACACGGGUACUGAACUACUGAUCCAUUUCGAUACAUGCUUAUGUAGCUAAAGAGAAACAGGCCUAUGUAGCUACUGCUGGUUCGCAGCGUUGCAUGGUCACCAUCUUCACUUCGGCUCUUCACUUCGGCAAAGCUUUUUACGCACUUGGACAAGCACCAGGCCACGCUCUUACUGAAGCUGCUUCCGAUGCUCCCUGUAACCCAUUUGUCCCAACAAAUAUCAGUCUGGCCUUUGUUCGCUCCUCCUGCAACACACAUUUUCGUUUAGUAGUUCGAAUUCUGUCAGAGCAACAACCACACUCUGCUAGUUCAGAACCUCAGAUCGACCGGCGUUUUUCAACACAAGCUUAGUUAUAUUAUCCAGUAUCAAGAUAGGUGGUUAAGUGUUUGAACAGGCAUAAUAAACAAGUUAUAAGCAAGUUGGAAACGAUCAGCACAUUACAUAACAAAAAGGCUGAAGUGAUUGGCAUUUGAUUUUCCUAGGCAUUAAGCACAGAAAUAAACAAGUUAAAGGCUGUUCUCAUGCAAAUCCAGCUACUAUGCGGCAUAAUAUACUGGAAUCACAUUCAAUGAAACAAGGCAUACUGAUUCUCAUUAUCUCAUAGAUUAAGACCUAUGUAACCCAGCAGUUGCAAUUGCAACUCAUGGAAAUAAACACACCACGGCAGCCAUGGACCAAGUUGGUUUACGGGCUUCAUGUUCCUGCAGCGUUUAGAAAUGCGAAUUUAGAAAUCAGUGUCUAAAACCAGUUGGGCGCCAACCAAACCUCAGGAAUUGCAGACGUGUGAUGAAGAAAUCUGACAAAAUCCCCAUCAGGAGGAGAUGAGGAACUACCUGUGGUGAGUGAAUCCCUCGUGGUGAGGAGGGGCGGCCGCCGCUGCUGCCGGUUCGCAUGGGUUAAGUGAGUUGGUCGGCCGGAAGGAGGCAGCAGGGCGCCUGUGCCCGCUCUACGCCGCGCCUCGCCACCUGCACAUCUCGGCACUGUGUAGCCAGAUCGGGCGCUUUUCCCAGCAGCGCCGCAUGCGGCCGCCUCGCCCACUACCCGAUGGAGGGACUCUAUAUUGAGGGAUCAAGAUGCACUAGAGGUAAAGGCCCUCGGGUGGGUAUGCGUUCGAUGUUGGAGCUUGGCAGCGAGGAGGAAGCGCGUACGAGCGGAGGAGCC